CCGAGGUGCCUUACGGUGGCGUCAGAAGAUAAGACAUAUUAAACGCAGUUCACCUCGGCUAUGCAAUGUCAGAAUCGGUCGACUUUUUAAACCUGAUAGGAGUCAUUCUGCACUAAAGAAAGUGGUGAACUUUGAGCGUCGGGACCCGGAAGCGUGUUAUUUUAUUGUCACAUGGCUUGAAGAUUUCAAUAACAACAAAAAAUGGCGACAAUCACGUUGUUCGCUGUAAGGCUUGCUGCGUCAUUAAAAAUAUUCACGUAAACAAGGGAGUUCAGCGUUGAAAAUGCAGCCGCUAAAGGAAUAUUACGCAGAUGUUUUUUCAUAAUUUGGCAGGCGUUUCCACCGUCCUGAGAUGGCAAACACGACGCGCUGAUGGAGUUGUUUACAAGAAGAGAUUCACACGGAGGGCGGGGAUGUUGUGGGCGGGGCCUUUGGGAUGAUGUGGGAGGAGCCAAGCGCUUGCCAAAUACAAGAACAGAUUAUAAAAGGUGGAGUCAGAGUUACCAUAACAAGUGUGUCGUCACAGUAUGAAUAAUUAAAGCUCAAAACGAAGGUAUCGAAUCUCCUGCUCUCAGAUAGGCAUUUGACAUCUAAUGCGGUGUAUCCAAUGAAAAUAUGGCAUGAAGUCCAAUAUUGAUAUUAUAUUAUUUCUGCUUUGUACAAGUUGUUUAAUAAUAAAAUAUUUACAUCUACUCAUAUAUAUAUAUAUAUAUAUAUAUAUAUAUAUAUAUAUAUAUAUAUUAUACACACACACACAGAUGUUAUGUCAAGUUUAUUGAGCCUAUAUUAUACAUUGAUUGUUAUAUCUUGAAAACAGUAAACAUCACACAUUGAUAUAUGAAGUCAAAGUUGAUAUCCCAGAGUGAACAUGGACAAGAAGAUGUGUGAAGAACGACUGCCCUGGCUCUGCUUGAUUUGACAGGCUGCCCUGGUUCAGUUAUCACAGUGCUGAUGCUGUCCAUCUUAAAGGUACAGUACUGUGAUAACUGAAGGAUGGCUGCCAUCUUGACAUCUAGCCUCACAAAAAUAUUUUUUUUACAGGUGAAAAAGGUAACUAGAUAAAUGAAAUGUAUUUUGACAUUUUUUUUGGGGGGGGGGGGUUAAAAAAACACACACACUUUAGAAUAGAUUACUUACAUUUCAUUCAUGUUUUUCCUGUAGAUUUAAAAUUAAAUAAAAAAACAAAAACAUUUCAGCUAAUGUUUUCUACACUUUCUUCUAUGUGUUCUCUGUAACAUUUGUUAUAAUAAAUAGUUUUAUUUCUAUUUCA
Carassius gibelio (silver crucian carp) is the source of this 1270-nucleotide long non-coding RNA. RefSeq lists it as uncharacterized. The transcript is spliced from 2 exons. The record is from RefSeq and is a predicted model, not a curated record. NCBI's taxonomy places the organism in Eukaryota, Metazoa, Chordata, Actinopteri, Cypriniformes, Cyprinidae.